This 492-nucleotide ribosomal RNA is filed under the name uncultured bacterium. RNAcentral describes it as "partial 16S ribosomal RNA". It matches the Rfam family "Bacterial small subunit ribosomal RNA", at positions 30 to 507 of the family's 1533-position model. The record is from RNAcentral.
AUUGAACGCUGGCGGUAGGCCUAACACAUGCAAGUCGAACGGCAGCACAGUAAUAGCUUGCUCUUACGGGUGGCGAGUGGCGGACGGGUGAGGAAUACAUCGGAAUCUACUUUUUCGUGGGUGAUAACGUAGGGAAACUUACGCUAAUACCGCAUACGACCUACGGGUGAAAGCAUGGGAUCUUCGGACCUUGCGCGAUUGAAUGAGCCGAUGUCGGAUUAGCUAGUUGGCGGGGUAAAGGCCCACCAAGGCGACGAUCCGUAGCUGGUCUGAGAGGAUGAUCAGCCACACUGGAACUGAGACACGGUCCAGACUCCUACGGGAGGCAGCAGUGGGGAAUAUUGGACAAUGGGCGCAAGCCUGAUCCAGCCAUACCGCGUGGGUGAAGAAGGCCUUCGGGUUGUAAAGCCCUUUUGUUGGGAAAGAAAAGCAGCAGGUUAAUACCCCGCUGUUCUGACGGUACCCAAAGAAUAAGCACCGGCUAACUUCGUG